UACCAGCACCCCGAGCGGUCGGGACGAUUAUUGGGCCUAAAGCAUCCGUAGCCGGUUUUACAAGUCCCCCGUUAAAUCCAGCUGCUUAACAGAUGGGCUGCGGAGGAUACUAUAAGACUAGGAGGCAGGAGAGGCAAGCGGUACUCAGUGGGUAGGGGUAAAAUCCGUUGAUCCAUUGAAGACCACCAGUGGCGAAGGCGGCUUGCCGGAAUGCGCUCGACGGUGAGGGAUGAAAGCUGGGGGAGCAAACCGG
Molecule: ribosomal RNA, 253 nt
Filed under: uncultured bacterium
Lineage: Bacteria
Description: partial 16S ribosomal RNA
Rfam family: Archaeal small subunit ribosomal RNA
Source: RNAcentral